Molecule: ribosomal RNA, 429 nt
Filed under: uncultured bacterium
Lineage: Bacteria
Description: bacterial SSU rRNA
Rfam family: Bacterial small subunit ribosomal RNA
Source: RNAcentral
UGAGGAAUAUUGCGCAAUGGGCGAAAGCCUGACGCAGCGACGCCGCGUGGAGGAUGAAGGUCUUCGGAUUGUAAACUUCUGUUAAGUGGGAAGAAAAAGUUGUUUUAAAUAAAAGCAAUGUAUGACGGUACCACUAGAGAAAGCACCGGCUAAACUCGUGCCAGCAGCCGCGGUAAUACGAGUGGUGCAAGCGUUAUUCGGAAUAAUUGGGCGUACAGGGUGCGUAGACGGUAUGUUAAGUCUGCUGUUAAAUCCUCCGGCUUAACCGGAGAUCUGCGGUGGAAACUGGCGUACUAGAGGGUGGAAGAGAGAAGUGGAAUUCUCGGUGUAGCGGUAAAAUGCGUAGAUAUCGAGAGGAACACCGAUGGCGAAGGCAGCUUCUUGGUCCAUUCCUGACGUUGAGGCACGAAAGCGUGGGGAGCAAACAGG